AUGGGGCCGCGUCAGGAGUCUCCAGGCAGGAGGACCUGCCACAGGUUGUGAAAGGGAGAAGUGAAACCCAAGAGAUGGGGACUCCCCAACAUUGAGUUUCCCCGCCCCUGACACCGCCCUGGGUCUGAGACCCUGAGAGGCAGGCCCAGGGACCUGGGACUUUGCCCGGACCCCUCCCCUACCGCACAGCGUGCUCUUUGUCACACUGGCUCCCUGAGUCCUGGCCCAGGAGCUGGAAAAGUUUGUCAGCAGUGAGAAGCUGUCAAGUUUAUUGGUGCAUUGCAAGUUCUCCAAAACUCUGAUUUUCUCUUGAGAGCUGACAUUUGAUCAAGGCAACAAGUCCUCUUAGCUGUCAUAGGUAAAACAUCCCUAGAAAAAGAAUCUCAGGAUUUUCCCUCGUGUGUGUUUUCAUCUUGCUGCUUCAUGGUCCGUGCUACCAGCUGCAGUUGUCAGGACAAUGAAACCAAACUGGAAGGACGGGAGCAGAAUUUCCUGCCAAUUUUGGUAGAUCUUUGAGUUGUACGUCAGACCUGGGGCUGCUCACUCCACGCGUGUUCAACCUGCCCCUGGGGUUCCCGACAAUGUUCCCAGCUCUGUGAUCAGCAGUGACUUCCCACCCGCCAAUGCAUUGUUACUGCUCUUGAGAGCAUCUCCCAAGAUAUUCGCGUGACCAUAUGGUGGCUUGGAGAGAUGGCGGAAAGAGUGUUUUUGCUUUCUACGGGAGUAAGCAGUGGUGAAGAAUAACAGCUAUUGCAGUUUGCACCCAUCACCUCCAUUCUUGCUCAGUUUUACCUCCGUGCGAAUGUCAACAUGGUGAAAAGGCAAAUAAUGCCUAAGUAAUGUUAGGAAAAUAGAUUUAACUUCAUGGAUUCUGUGAAAGGGCCUCAGGGAUGUCAGGUGUUACAGGGACCACACUUUGAGAACGGCUGCUCUGACUAUCCCUGGGAGAGUCUCCCAGCUGGUCCUGUGCUGGCCUCCUCUUCACUCAGCAGAAUCCCUUUCCCUGAGCUGCACCUGCUGUCUCUGAAAACUCAGCUCUGACUCUAGCCCCUGAGUGCGUCUAGAAGAGAACUCACCUUCUGGAAAUAUGAUGGCAGAGAGGGUCCCCAGGCUGGGAAGGGAGGCGGAGGGACAGGGAUUUCCCUUUUGUAAUUGGGAACAGUUUGUGCUGAAGGCACCAGACCGAUGCAUAAGCAAUUUUGAUUUUCUGAAACAUCAGCCUCAUAUGUAUUCACAUCCCAUACGGAAUCCGAUGUCGUCUUUAGGAGAAAUCAUGUUCGUCUUUUCCCUUGACAUGUAUCUAGUGCAUCUGACUUGAGGCCCACAAGGCACACAGAGCGGUACCAUCCAAUACAACAUUCUGUGCGGAGGGAAUUGUUCUGUGCCUCCCCAUCCAGUACGGUGGCCACGAGAUGCAUGUGGCUCUAGAGAUGCGUGGGGCACGUGAAAUGGGGCUGGUGAGCUGGGCAGCUGCAUUUAUAAUUGUUUUAAAUGAAUAGGAAUUUAAGUAGCCAUACGUGCCUCGGAGCUACUAUUCAGACAGUACGUAUCUAGAACGCUCUUAGUUUUCAGGAUUCUCCUCAAGGAAGAUACUGUGUGACUCAUAGGUGUAUGUGUAUUAAAUUUAUCUUCACAUGGAAGUUA
Long non-coding RNA from Ailuropoda melanoleuca (giant panda), 1644 nucleotides. RefSeq lists it as uncharacterized. The transcript is spliced from 4 exons. NCBI's taxonomy places the organism in Eukaryota, Metazoa, Chordata, Mammalia, Carnivora, Ursidae. The record is from RefSeq and is a predicted model, not a curated record.